GCCGGGCGCGGUGGCUCACGCCUGUAAUCCCAGCACUUUGGGAGGCUGAGGCAGGCGGAUCACCUGAGGUCAGGAGUUCGAGACCAGCCUGACCAACAUGGUGAAACCCCGUCUCUA
Molecule: small RNA, 117 nt
Filed under: Papio anubis (olive baboon)
Lineage: Eukaryota; Metazoa; Chordata; Mammalia; Primates; Cercopithecidae
Description: Metazoan signal recognition particle RNA (ENSPANG00000047776.1)
Source: Rfam by way of RNAcentral